AUGAACGCUGGCGGCGUGCCUAAUACCUGCAAGUCGAGCGAACAGAUGAGGAGCUUGCUCCUCUGACGUUAGCGGCGGACGGGUGAGUAACACGUGGAUAACCUACCUAUAAGACUGGGAUAACUUCGGGAAACCGGAGCUAAUACCGGAUAAUAUAUUGAACCGCAUGGUUCAAUAGUGAAAGACGGUUUUGCUGUCACUUAUAGAUGGAUCCGCGCCGCAUUAGCUAGUUGGUAAGGUAACGGCUUACCAAGGCAACGAUGCGUAGCCGACCUGAGAGGGUGAUCGGCCACACUGGAACUGAGACACGGUCCAGACUCCUACGGGAGGCAGCAGUAGGGAAUCUUCCGCAAUGGGCGAAAGCCUGACGGAGCAACGCCGCGUGAGUGAUGAAGGUCUUCGGAUCGUAAAACUCUGUUAUUGGGGAAGAACAAAUGUGUAAGUAACUAUGCACGUCUUGACGGUACCUAAUCAGAAAGCCACGGCUAACUACGUG
Molecule: ribosomal RNA, 496 nt
Filed under: uncultured bacterium
Lineage: Bacteria
Description: partial 16S ribosomal RNA
Rfam family: Bacterial small subunit ribosomal RNA
Source: RNAcentral